Molecule: ribosomal RNA, 253 nt
Filed under: uncultured bacterium
Lineage: Bacteria
Description: partial 16S ribosomal RNA
Rfam family: Bacterial small subunit ribosomal RNA
Source: RNAcentral
UACGUAGGGUGCAAGCGUUAAUCGGAAUUACUGGGCGUAAAGCGUGCGCAGGCGGCUUUGCAAGACAGAUGUGAAAUCCCCGGGCUUAACCUGGGAACUGCAUUUGUGACUGCAUGGCUAGAGUGCGGCAGAGGGGGAUGGAAUUCCGCGUGUAGCAGUGAAAUGCGUAGAUAUGCGGAGGAACACCGAUGGCGAAGGCAAUCCCCUGGGCCUGCACUGACGCUCCUGCACGAAAGCGUGGGGAGCAAACAGG